This 475-nucleotide ribosomal RNA is filed under the name uncultured bacterium. Its description in RNAcentral is "bacterial SSU rRNA". It matches the Rfam family "Bacterial small subunit ribosomal RNA", at positions 28 to 507 of the family's 1533-position model. The record is from RNAcentral.
GAUGAACGCUGGCGGCGUGCUUAACACAUGCAAGUCGAACGGAGAAAGGGUAGCUUGCUAUCUUUUCUUAGUGGCGGACGGGUGAGUAACGCGUGGGUAACCUGCCCUUUGCAGGGGGAUAACAGUGAGAAAUCACUGCUAAUACCGCAUACCAACUUCUUCGCAUGAAGGAAGUUUGAAAGAUUUAUCGGCAAAGGAUGGACCCGCGUUGGAUUAGCUAGUUGGUGAGAUAACAGCCCACCAAGGCAACGAUCCAUAGCCGGCCUGAGAGGGUGAACGGCCACACUGGGACUGAGACACGGCCCAGACUCCUACGGGAGGCAGCAGUGGGGAAUAUUGCACAAUGGGCGAAAGCCUGAUGCAGCGACGCCGCGUGAAGGAUGAAGGUCUUCGGAUUGUAAACUUCUAUCAGCAGGGAAGAAAGGGCUUAUAGCCUAUGACGGUACCUGACUAAGAAGCCCCGGCUAACUACGUG